GACGAACGCUGGCGGCGUGCUUAACACAUGCGAGUCGAACGGAAAGGCCCUGCUUUUGUGGGGUGCUCGAGUGGCGAACGGGUGAGUAACACGUGAGUAACCUGCCCUUGACUUUGGGAUAACUUCAGGAAACUGGGGCUAAUACCGGAUAGGAGCUCCUGCUGCAUGGUGGGGGUUGGAAAGUUUCGGCGGUUGGGGAUGGACUCGCGGCUUAUCAGCUUGUUGGUGGGGUAGUGGCUUACCAAGGCUUUGACGGGUAGCCGGCCUGAGAGGGUGACCGGCCACAUUGGGACUGAGAUACGGCCCAGCCUCCUACGGGAGGCAGCAGUGGGGAAUAUUGCACAAUGGGCGGAAGCCUGAUGCAGCAACGCCGCGUGCGGGAUGACGGCCUUCGGGUUGUAAACCGCUUUCGCCUGUGACGAAGCGUGAGUGACGGUAAUGGGUAAAGAAGCACCGGCUAACUACGUG
This 468-nucleotide ribosomal RNA is filed under the name uncultured bacterium. RNAcentral describes it as "partial 16S ribosomal RNA". It matches the Rfam family "Bacterial small subunit ribosomal RNA", at positions 28 to 507 of the family's 1533-position model. The record is from RNAcentral.